AAAAGAUUAAGAUAUAGGACCAAAAAAAAAACCAAAACCCCAGACUGUUGUAGAUGGCAGGCAUGAAUGUAUAUUUAUAUACAUAUAACAUAAAUCCUGUUAUGUUUGUGGACUAUUUAAGAAGUGAUAUAAAGAGCAGCUCUUUGAGAUAAGGCAAGACAAUUUUUAAGGGACAGUCAUUUCCAAAAAUAGGAGUGAGGAUUACCAUGUAGUUCAGCAAUUUAUUCCAAAAUCCUGUUGAAGCAAGCACUUGUAGCAUGUGCAAAAUUGCCUUAUAUAUAUGAAUAGUAUCGCCACUAGUUUGAAAAUGAUUCUAGUAACAAGAUAAUUUAGAGGCACAGACUUUAAGAAUUCUGUGGUCUUAAACAUGUUGAUAAAAAUGAUUUAAUAUUAUUAAACUUUUUGUAGGUGGUUAAAAGGCAGUUAUCAUAAUUAAACAUGUACUAGGCAACUGAAAAUUAACCACUAUCAUGGCUGAUUAUACAUAUGACCAAAUGGUGAUACCAUAUUAAUUAACUUACAGGUUAAAACUUUUGUUAUCUAGUGAUAUGGGUCCCACUUGCUAAAUUUGUGUACUUGCAGUCUGAGUUCAUCUGAUUGUAUAUUUAAAACUUCCUGAAAUUGGUAUAUUUUGUAGAUGCACAGUACAGCUUGAAUCUUAGUUUUUCCAAACUUAAAAGAGGCCAAAUGUAGUUUAAGGAAUUUGCAUCAAUAUUGCAGUUCUGGUGCCUGAUUUUUUUUUCUUUUUACCUAAGAAACAUUUAAACAUAAUGUGCCUCAGUUGGGUUUAUUUGUAAAUUCUUUAAUCAUUGCAUAAAGAACACUUAAGAUAUGGCAGUAUUUUAAAGGCAAAUAUUCUUUUCUAAAAGUGGGGUGAUGGCCUUGUGUUCAGCAAAUCAACCCAUAAACCUCAAAAAAAGCACUUCAUGCUGUCACUAAGGACACUGCCUCCACUUUGAUGGACCGGCCUCAUUUUUGACAGCUGUGCUAUUAGAGCUUUAGAUUAAAUAUUCAAGUUUCUUCCCUAGCUCAAAUUUCUAUAGUUGUAAAUCCAUGGUUACAACAGCAUAUUGAGUUCCAUCUUUAGAGAGGCAAAGAUUUAGGCUUAAUAUCCAAGAGACACUUAAGUAUCAAGAGAUACUUAUACUUCUUAAUUCUGCAAGAGGGCUUACCUGGUAGGCCGUCUCCUUAAUUUAGAC
This 1199-nucleotide long non-coding RNA is filed under the name Bos taurus (domestic cattle). RNAcentral describes it as "long non-coding RNA NONBTAT000988". The record is from RNAcentral. Lineage: Eukaryota; Metazoa; Chordata; Mammalia; Artiodactyla; Bovidae.